AGACAUUUAAAAAUAAUUAAAGACUCAACUCUUAAAAGCUUUACCGGUUACCACUUUGCUUUCGCCUCUCUCACUUUCACUGUUUAGCAUCUGCCAACUGCCCAGCCAUAACCCAAAUCCCUAAAUCCCAAAUUCCCAAAACGAAGUAGUGGAGUUUUUGGAACGAUUGUGAUUUGAGUUAGUUUGGAUCUGGUUUGGUACUAUUUUAGUUUGUGUUUUGUGAGUUAGUUUGUGUUUAAAUCCAAGUUCUAUUUUGAUGGGUCUAAUCAAUUUGUUGUCUUCCUCUAUCCUCCAUCUCCGGUUCCUCCAUUUCUUCCGGCCCACUCACUCUUCCCUUUCUUCUUCCUCCUAUUUUAUUCCAAAUCCGAGGGUUUAUAGCUCAUAGUGCCUACCGCGAGAUUAGUAGAGGUGAUGUCCUUGUGUAUGCUGGAAUUGGGAGUUAUGAUCUGAUGUUAUGUUCAUGGUCUGAUGUUGUGGGGAAUCUGAUGUUGGGUUCAUGGUCUGGGGGUUUGGAUCUUAAUGUUAUGUUCUGGUGAUGCUCUGGAUUCUGGAAGAUGAAAUGCUCCAGAUUUGAUUUAUGUGUAUAUUGUUUAUCCUUUAAUCAAAUUUGUAUUGUUGAUGAUUUAUGUGCUCUGGAAGACGAGUCUCUGCCCUGGCCCCCUCUCAAAUCUCAAUUCUCAUAUCUGUUACUCUGUUAGGAAGCUUAAAAUGAAACUUAAUUUCGGUUAUUAACCGAAAUAAUCGAAUUAUAAAUUUGAUUAUUCAGUUUUCGGUUAUUUGUAAAUUCGGUUAGUUAUUUUGGAUAUUGAAAUUUAGAAGAUUUCGGUUAUUCGGUUAUAUCUUUGAAUAUAACUGAAU
This 858-nucleotide long non-coding RNA is filed under the name Panax ginseng (ginseng). Its description in RNAcentral is "long non-coding RNA (PGIN_LNC015767)". Lineage: Eukaryota; Viridiplantae; Streptophyta; Magnoliopsida; Apiales; Araliaceae. The record is from RNAcentral.